RNAcentral lists this unclassified non-coding RNA (377 nucleotides) under plant metagenome. Its description in RNAcentral is "partial contains 5.8S ribosomal RNA, internal transcribed spacer 2, and large subunit ribosomal RNA". The stretch from base 1 to 104 matches the Rfam family "5.8S ribosomal RNA", at positions 50 to 154 of the family's 154-position model. The record is from RNAcentral.
GAAAUGCGAUAAGUAAUGUGAAUUGCAGAAUUCAGUGAAUCAUCGAAUCUUUGAACGCACCUUCGCUCCUUGGUAUUCCUUGGAGCAUGCCUGUUUGAGUAUCAUGAAAUCUUCAAAGUAAAUCUUUUGUUAACUCAAUUGGUUUCUACUUUGGUAUUGGAGGUCUUUGCAGCUUCACACCUGCUCCUCUUUGUUCAUUAGCUGGAUCUCAGUGUUAUGCUUGGUUCCACUCGGCGUGAUAAGUUAUCUAUCGCUGAGGACACUGUAAAAGGUGGCCAAGGUAAAUGCAGAUGAACCGCUUCUAAUAGUCCAUUGACUUGGACAAUACUUUUAUGAUCUGAUCUCAAAUCAGGUAGGACUACCCGCUGAACUUAAGC